This 472-nucleotide ribosomal RNA is filed under the name Streptococcus sanguinis. RNAcentral describes it as "bacterial SSU rRNA". It matches the Rfam family "Bacterial small subunit ribosomal RNA", at positions 28 to 483 of the family's 1533-position model. Lineage: Bacteria; Bacillati; Bacillota; Bacilli; Lactobacillales; Streptococcaceae. The record is from RNAcentral.
GACGAACGCGGCGGCGUGCCUAAUACAUGCAAGUAGAACGCUGAAGAGAGGAGCUUGCUCUUCUUGGAUGAGUUGCGAACGGGUGAGUAACGCGUAGGUAACCUGCCUGGUAGCGGGGGAUAACUAUUGGAAACGAUAGCUAAUACCGCAUGAUAUUGAAUAUCGCAUGAUAAUUAAUUGAAAGAUGCAAUUGCAUCACUACCAGAUGGACCUGCGUUGUAUUAGCUAGUUGGUGAGGUAACGGCUCACCAAGGCGACGAUACAUAGCCGACCUGAGAGGGUGAUCGGCCACACUGGGACUGAGACACGGCCCAGACUCCUACGGGAGGCAGCAGAAGGGAAUCUUCGGCAAUGGGGGGAACCCUGACCGAGCAACGCCGCGUGAGUGAAGAAGGUUUUCGGAUCGUAAAGCUCUGUUGUAAGAGAAGAACGGGUGUGAGAGUGGAAAGUUCACACUGUGACGGUAUCUACC